This 496-nucleotide ribosomal RNA is filed under the name uncultured bacterium. RNAcentral's name for it is "bacterial SSU rRNA". It matches the Rfam family "Bacterial small subunit ribosomal RNA", at positions 28 to 519 of the family's 1533-position model. The record is from RNAcentral.
GAUGAACGCUAGCGGCAGGCCUAAUACAUGCAAGUCGGACGGUAAACGGCCCUUCGGGGCUGUGAGAGUGGCGCACGGGUGCGUAACGCGUAUGCAACCUACCCAAUGCUGGCGGAUAGCCCGGAGAAAUUCGGAUUAAGCCGUCAUGAGGAGCAGCUGGGGCAUCCCAAUUGUUUCAAAAUAUUUUAUAGGCGUUGGAUGGGCAUGCGUGCUAUUAGAUAGUUGGCGGGGUAACGGCCCACCAAGUCGACGAUAGCUAGGGGAUCUGAGAGGACGGUCCCCCCACACUGGUACUGAGACACGGUCCAGACUCCUACGGGAGGCAGCAGUGAGGAAUAUUGGUCAAUGGAGGCAACUCUGAACCAGCCAAGUAGCGUGCAGGAUGACGGCCCUAUGGGUUGUAAACUGCUUUUAUGCGGGGAUAAAUGAGCCUACGUGUAGGUUUUUGCAGGUACCACAUGAAUAAGGACCGGCUAAUUCCGUGCCAGCAGCCGUC